Molecule: long non-coding RNA, 209 nt
Filed under: Panax ginseng (ginseng)
Lineage: Eukaryota; Viridiplantae; Streptophyta; Magnoliopsida; Apiales; Araliaceae
Description: long non-coding RNA (PGIN_LNC005854)
Source: RNAcentral
UUUAAUACGGGAAAGAGGGAAUAUUAUUUUGCAAUAUUUCUUUAUUCCUUUUACACAUUAAGAAGCAUAGUUGAAGUCAAACAUACAAUGACAAUCUAAAUGCAACAUUUACAUUUACAUCUAGUUUGAACACAUACACCACACACACUCACAACUCGAACCCCCAACCUAUGGUAAACAUGCGUUGGGUAAUAUAUAUACCACUAGGC